AAACUGCGAUAAGUAGUGUGAAUUGCAUUUAGUGAAUCAUCGAAUCUUUGAACGCACCUCGCACUCACUGGUAUUCCGGUGAGUACGCCUGUUUCAGUAUCAUUGAAAACACACAAUCAAAACAUUUUCUUUGGUUUGAUUGGCUUUGGGUCUAUCAAAAAGUUUGGCUUGUUUCUUACAAGCCAAGCGGCCUGAAAUAUAUUGUCUGGCUAAUUGCAUCGUUGAUGAUCGCUAUUAGACUUUGGCUUUUUUAAAUGAACUGGAGGUUGAUUAACCAGUUUUAGCUUUAGUCAAAUGGUCAUUGUAAAAAAAAUCUCGAUCUUGGCUAGGUGUUUAUAGCCGAAAAUUUUUUUUUGGCUAUAACCGAAACCAAUAUAAUCACAUUUAGUUAUCGAUCUGAAAUCAGGUGGGACUACCCGCUGAACUUAAGC
RNAcentral lists this unclassified non-coding RNA (431 nucleotides) under plant metagenome. RNAcentral describes it as "partial contains 5.8S ribosomal RNA, internal transcribed spacer 2, and large subunit ribosomal RNA". The stretch from base 1 to 102 matches the Rfam family "5.8S ribosomal RNA", at positions 50 to 154 of the family's 154-position model. The record is from RNAcentral.